Bubalus bubalis (water buffalo) is the source of this 4936-nucleotide RNA transcript. It is a transcript of the gene named putative protein ZNF720, with no coding region annotated. NCBI's taxonomy places the organism in Eukaryota, Metazoa, Chordata, Mammalia, Artiodactyla, Bovidae. The record is from RefSeq and is a predicted model, not a curated record. The transcript has 7 exons.
AUCUUCCUCCCGCGCGUGCGCAGUAUCCUGCAGACCCGGAAUUGAGUUUAAAUGAGCGACCGAGUGUUCUGGGGUCACUUCCCAAGACUGAUCUUACGUGAGAAGGAAGCCCAGAGGAAGAGGAAAGCAAGGAGUCAGAAAUGACUCAUUCCGAGGGACGGCUGACGUUUCAGGAUGUGGCCAUAGACUUCACUCAAGAGGAGUGGGAAUGCCUGGACCUCGGUCAGCGGAAAUUGUACAGGAGCGUGAUGUUAGAGAACUACAGGAACCUGGCCUCCUUGGGGCUUGUCUCUAAGGUGGACCUGGUCACCUUUCUGGAGCUAUUGAAGGAUCCCAGGAAUAUAAGGAGAAUUGAAACAACAGCCAUUUACCCAGCUGUGUCUCCACAAGACACCCAGGAUUUGAUGCCAAAGAAUCCAGCAUUAGAAGAUGUAUUCCCAAAAGCAAACCUAGGAAUAUAUCAAACAUUUCACCUCAGAAACUUAAAUUUAAUGAAAGAUUGGGAAUAUACCAGGGUAUAUGAAAGACAGAGAGGAUGUUUAUAUGGACAUAAAGAAAUGGAGACACUUACAAAUAAUGCUAAGAGUACUGCAAAAAGAAAUGAGCAGCCUGAGUCAAAUUGGGAAAAACAGCAACUUCAAUCUUCACUAUCUGCCGAGAAGUGUAAGUGUUUAAGAAAAGAUGUCCAUCCUUUUUUGAAACAUACAUGUUCUCUAAAAGAAAACGUGGAAAAUCUGGAAGGUAAUCUAGUCUCUACUGCAAAUACUCAUUCAGACAAUUGUGAAUGUAGGCUUCGACUAAACAUACAUUCAAGGAUGUCUGAACACCUACAAUUUAACAAUGAGUGUGAAAAUUCAAAAUCUAAGCAAUUUCAGGGAUCCGUGAGCAGGGUGUCAUUGUUCUUCCCCCAACAGAUAUCUUCUAUCCAUUCCAAGAUAUAUAAUGUUGAUGAUAAUGGAAGAGAUGCAAUCCAACCAUCAUUCUUCAAUACAUAUUGUGAUAUGGUUAAUACACAACAACUUUCCAGGUAUAAUAAAAUGAGUCAGACCUUAAGUAAGAGCCCCAGCUCCAAUAAUUACAAGAGUAUUUAUGGCGGACUGAGAAGAUAUUCAGGCAAUGAAACUAGGUAUACAGUUGAAGGAGACUCAAACCUUAAGAAACAUCAGGGACCCGAAUCUUUAAACAAGGAUUCUAAAAUUAAUAAAUGUAGAAAUACCUUUGAUCAAAUGUCAGGUUUUUCUGUAGAUAAGAGUACUUGUACUGGAGACAGGACUUGUAGUGAAUAUGGUAAGGUUUCUAAUCACUGUUCAGAACUUACUCAACAGGACACUGUUCAGAAUCCACAGAAAGAAAACAAGUGUAAGGUAUGUGAGAAAGGGUUUAGUAAGUCAUCCAAUCUUAGUAGACAUAGGAGAAUUCAUACAGGAAGGAAACCUUUCAAAUGUACAGAAUGUAGCAGAGCAUUUAACUGUCACUCACUUCUUACUCAACAUCAGCGAAUUCAUGCUGGAAAGAAACCUUAUAUAUGUAAAGAAUGUAACAAAGCCUUUCAUUGUUCCUCAUUUCUUACUGAACAUCAGCAAAUUCACACUGGAGAGAAACCUUAUAAAUGUACAGUAUGUGGCAAAGCCUUUACUUACAACUCAGACCUUAUUGAACAUCAGCGAAUUCAUACUGGAGAGAAACCUUAUAAAUGUACAGAAUGUAGCAAAGCCUUUACUUACAACUCACUUCUUAUUCAACAUCGGCGAACUCAUACAGGAGAGAAACCUUAUAAAUGUACAGAAUGUAGCAAAGCCUUUACUUACAAUUCAGACCGUAUUGAACAUCAGCGAAUUCAUACUGGAGAGAAACCUUAUAUAUGUAAAGAAUGUAACAAAGCCUUUCGUCGCUCCUCAUUUCUUACUCAACAUCAGCGAAUUCACACUGGACAGAAACCUUAUAAAUGUACAGAAUGUGGCAAAGCCUUUACUUACAAGUCACUUCUUAUUAAACAUCGGAGAAUUCAUACUGGAGAGAAACCUUAUAAAUGUACAGAAUGUAGCAAAGCCUUUACUUACAACUCAAGCCUUAUUCAACAUCAGCGAAUUCAUGCUGGAGAGAAACCUUAUAAAUGUACAGAAUGUAGCAAAGCCUUUAUUUGCAACUCAGACCUUAUUGAACAUCAGCGAAUUCAUACUGGAGAGAAACCUUAUAUAUGUAAAGUAUGUAACAAAGCCUUUCGUCGCUCCUCAUUUCUUACUCGACAUCAGCGAAUUCACGCUGGAGAGAAACCUUAUAAAUGUACAGUAUGUGGCAAAGCCUUUACUUACAACUCAAAUCUUAUUCAACAUCAGCAAAUUCAUACUGGAGAGAAACCUUAUAAAUGUACAGAAUGUAGCAAAGCCUUUAUCUGUUACUCAGAUCUAACCUAUCAUAAGCGAAUCCAUACUGGAGAGAAGCCUUAUACAUGUAAAGAAUGUAACAAAGCCUUUCAUCAUUGCUCAGUUCUUACUAGACAUCAUCGAAUCCAUACUGGGGAGAAACCAUACAAAUGUAAAGAAUGUGGCAGAGCCUUUAUUAGGAGUUCAGCCCUUACUCAACAUCACCGAAUUCAUACCGGGGAUAGACGUUAUAAAUGUACAGAAUGUGGCAAGACCUUUAUUACGCGUUAUAACCUUACUGAACAUCGGCGCGUGCAUACUGGAGAGAGACCAUAUACAUGUACUGAAUGUGGCAAAGCCUUUGGUUACAGGUCAGCUCUUACUCUACAUCGGCGAAUGCAUACUGGAGAGAGACCUUAUGAAUGUACCGAAUGUGGCAAAGCCUUUAGUCAGAGUGCUCAUCUCAGUAAACAUCAGAGAACACACACUGGAGAGAAACUCUAGUAACGGAACAUGUGAUGGAAGAGGUUUGCGCUAAACAUGCAUCAGAAAACACAAGAGUUUAUACAAAAAAACCAAUGGAAAUGAUGUAACCAAUAUGUAGAAAAGUAUUUAAUCAAAAGUUAAAUGGAAAUAAAUAUCAGAGAUUGCAUAAUAGAAGGCAUUUCACUAAUCUUGUUUUCAGAAGUUUCUCUGAAGUACAAUGACUGUAGGGAGUACUGCAUAGUUGAAGCACAUAGAAAAUGGACGUAUUAGCAUGAAUCAUGAGAUGAAGGUUGAUAGUUAGAAAGUUACAAUUCUUAACACUGUAUGUAUGAAAGCGAAAGUAAAGUCGCUCAGUCGUGUCCAACUUUGCAACCCCAUAGACUGUAGCCUACCAGGCUCCUGUGUCUAUGGGAUUUUCCAGGCAAUAGUACUGGAGUGGAUUGCUAUUUGUAUGCUCGUUUAUAAUGACAUGAUUUGAGAUUCUUUGACGUGAAUGUAAUAGAACACUCAAUCCAUAUUAAGCUUUCUACUGUGUUUGGAAAGGUAGAUUUUUUAUGGUUUAUUAAAGAUUAGCUUUUUAUAUUGUGUUGCAACACAAUUUCUAUCUAUCCUCCUUUAGAAGAUGAAGGAUACCAUAAUGUAAAAUGGACAAUGACCAUCUAAAUGGAGGUGUUUGGCAUUGAUGUGAAAUAUCUGGAAGUUGCCAUGAUAAGUGCGUUUGCAGCGUAACAUCCCCAGAGAAGACAGAGCAGGAGGAAGAAGAGGAGGAAAUGGCAACUUCUCAGGAUGCCCAGGCAGUGAUUGUGCAUCUUUCAUGUGAUUCAUUUACACCAUGACAUCUGAUGCCCACUGGUUCUGGAGACAUCACUCUAACAUCAUGAGACUAUGAAGUUCAUACUUCUCUCUCUCUUUAAACAAGGUUGUGGAAAAAAGGAAUAAGGAAUGUGUGGAAAUGCUCAUAGUUAUUGGAGAAACUCCCCAUCUUCUUGGUUUCUCUUUGCUUCUGAGAAUGAACACUCAUUGUGUUGAUUAUAGAUAGUGGGUUUUCAGGGUAGGCGAAUUGAUCACUCAAGCCUAGGUGUGAUGUUUCCAGAAUACUCCAGGCUCAAAUCACAGACACAGUCUUUUUACCACCUCCAUGUACUUCUUACCCCAUGACUCAUGUUCACUGGUUUAAGUGUUUCUGUGAGAUUCCCAUGCUGUGAAUUUGUUUUUUUUCCACUUGACUUGAACAAGUGUCUUGGAAAGAAAAAUGAGGGAUGUGCCUAAACUAUCACAAUUAAUGAAGUAACUUCCUGUCUUCUUACUUUCUUUCUGCUUUGGAAAAUGAACACUCAUGUGUGUUUAGCAGAGAUGCUGGGUUUGGGGAGUGGUGGUUUUCAUCCCAAGCCCAGGUCUGAUCUUUUCCAAUACACUCCAUGCUCACAUCACAGAGUCUCAUCACAGUUUUGUAUUUUCCAAAAUGUUUACAAGAAUCUUAUUAGUCCUAAUCUAUGCUCAACUGUAUUAAAAUUUAAAAUACAGCUCAGUGCAAAUAAAGAAUAUCAUCCUCUAACAUUAUGUACUUUUUAAUUCAUUCAAAAUUACCUGAGUUUAGUGACAUGAAAAUGUCUCUCUCUUCCCCCUAAUGAGCAUAUAGCCCCAUUUGAGUGUAUGUCUGUACUCCGUGGAGAUGAGUUUGAGUGGGCUCCGGGAGUUGGUGAUGGACCAGGAGGCCUGGCGUGCUGUGGGCCAUGGGGUCGCAAAGAAUGGAAUACGACUGAGCAACUGAACUGAACUCUGUGUAUGAAAAUAUUAACAUGACUUGAUCAAUUUUUUCUUCUUCUUUUCUUUUUGCUUUGUUUUUCUGAAGAACUUCUGGGGAAGGGAAUGACUACCCGUUCCAGUAUUCCUGCUUGGGAAUUUCUUGGACAGUGGAAUCUGGCAAGUUAGAGUCCAUGGGGUCACUAAGAAUGGGACAUGACUGAGUGACUAAAACUCUUCUUGUCUUUAGUAUUGUUUACAGUUACAGAAACUUCUAUCAACUUUUCUUAGAGUUGUCUCUGUGAAUCUGUCUGUUUUAUUAAAGUCUAAAGUACAUAAACUGA